GCGAACGCUGGCGGCAGGCUUAACACAUGCAAGUCGAGCGGGCGUAGCAAGUACGUCAGCGGCAGACGGGUGAGUAACGCGUGGGAACGUACCUUUUGGUUCGGAACAACACAGGGAAACGUUGUGCUAAUAACCGGAGUAAGCCCUUACCGGGGAAAGAUUUAUCGCCGAAAGAUCGGCCCGCGUCGUGAUUAGCUAGUUGGUGAGGUAACGGCUCACCAAGGCGCGAUCAGUAGCUGGUCNGAGAGGAUGAUCAGCCACAUUGGGACUGAGACACGGCCCAAACUCCUACGGGAGGCGAGCAGUGGGGAAGUAUUGGUACAAUGGGGCGCAAGCCUGAGUCCUAGCCAUGGCCGCGUGAGUGAUG
Molecule: ribosomal RNA, 367 nt
Filed under: uncultured bacterium
Lineage: Bacteria
Description: bacterial SSU rRNA
Rfam family: Bacterial small subunit ribosomal RNA
Source: RNAcentral